RNAcentral lists this unclassified non-coding RNA (322 nucleotides) under Hevea brasiliensis (rubber tree). The record is from RNAcentral. Lineage: Eukaryota; Viridiplantae; Streptophyta; Magnoliopsida; Malpighiales; Euphorbiaceae.
UAUAAAGCGAGUGCUGAGGAGGGUACUUCUCCAUGAUGUGGCUGUAAGAUUCUGGAAUGGCAGAUUUUACACGUUCAUCAUAUAGAAUUUUGCGCCUCCACCAUCUUACUGAACUACUAACCCAAGAUCAGUUCUUCUGGUAUUAAUUAACUUUACGUCCAAAUCCGCAGGAAUCCAUUACCUGCUCAGCGUUUUGUUGGAUGCAAGAUAAACCGAUACCUGUAAUCGCUUGAUAUUAUCUUUACUGUGUCCCAACUGAUCUCAAUGGUUCAUCACUGCACAGGGACUACUGCCAAAUUCUAUUUUUGGUAAUUUAGCUUGG